This 494-nucleotide long non-coding RNA is filed under the name Lathyrus oleraceus (garden pea). RNAcentral's name for it is "Pisum sativum (pea) long non-coding RNA (PSAT_LNC012694)". Lineage: Eukaryota; Viridiplantae; Streptophyta; Magnoliopsida; Fabales; Fabaceae. The record is from RNAcentral.
UAAAUUUAUAAUACAUCCAAUCAAAUAAUCAAAAGAAAAAAUUAAAAUAAGAAAAAGUUUAGGAUAGUAAACUUGAGCCCUUGAUUAAUCAGAUUUAAUCGUCAAGAUUAAAACAAAGAGAUACAAAUUGUCAAUCACUUGUUUGGUAAUUUGUGUUUCUUUGUUUUAAUCUAGACCAUUGAAUUAGAUUAAUCAAAGGCUCUUGUUUAUUAUCCUAAAUUUAUAAUACAUCCAAUCAAAUAAUCAAAAGAAAAAAUUAAAAUAGGAAAAAGUUUAGGAUAGUAAACUUGAGCCCUUGAUUAAUCAGAUUUAAUCGUCAAGAUUAAAACAAAGAGACACACAUUAUCAAUCACACACUUGACAAUGUGUGUUUCUUUGUUUUAAUUAUGACAAUAUUAUUUGAUCAAUCAAUGACUCUUCUUUACUAUCCUCAACUUAUUCCCUAAUCCAAUCAAAUAAUCAGAAGAUACAAAAAUCAAAAUAAGAAUAAGUUU